This 253-nucleotide ribosomal RNA is filed under the name uncultured bacterium. RNAcentral describes it as "partial 16S ribosomal RNA". It matches the Rfam family "Bacterial small subunit ribosomal RNA", at positions 524 to 776 of the family's 1533-position model. The record is from RNAcentral.
UACGAACUGUGCGAACGUUAUUCGGAAUCACUGGGCUUACAGGGUGCGUAGGCGGCUUUGCAAGUCAGGUGUGAAAGCCCCCGGCUCAACUGGGGAGGGUCAUUCGAUACUGAUCGACUCGAAGGCAGGAGAGGGAAGUGGAAUUCCCGGUGUAGUGGUGAAAUGCGUAGAUAUCGGGAGGAACACCAGUGGCGAAGGCGACUUCCUGGCCUGUUCUUGACGCUGAGGCGCGAAAGCUAGGGGAGCAAACGGG